Molecule: small nuclear RNA, 20 nt
Filed under: Arabidopsis thaliana (thale cress)
Lineage: Eukaryota; Viridiplantae; Streptophyta; Magnoliopsida; Brassicales; Brassicaceae
Description: snRNA_10514
Source: RNAcentral
CCGUCCAAGGCUAAAUACGG